This 1134-nucleotide ribosomal RNA is filed under the name Enterococcus faecium. RNAcentral describes it as "bacterial SSU rRNA". The record is from RNAcentral. Lineage: Bacteria; Bacillati; Bacillota; Bacilli; Lactobacillales; Enterococcaceae.
GCUGGGCGGCGUGCUAUACAUGCAAGUCGUACGCUUCUUUUCUACCGAGUGCUUGCACUCAUUUGGAAAGAGGAGUGGCGAACGGGUGAGUAACACGUGGGUAACCUGCCCAUCAGAAGGGGAUAACACUUGGAAACAGGUGCUAAUACCGCAUAAUAAUCGACACCGCAUGGUGUUGAUUUGAAAGGCGCUUUCGGGUGUCGCUGAUGGAUGGACCCGCGGUGCAUUAGCUAGUUGGUGAGGUAACGGCUCACCAAGGCCACGAUGCAUAGCCGACCUGAGAGGGUGAUCGGCCACACUGGGACUGAGACACGGCCCAAACUCCUACGGGAGGCAGCAGUAGGGAAUCUUCGGCAAUGGACGAAAGUCUGACCGAGCAACGCCGCGUGAGUGAAGAAGGUUUUCGGAUCGUAAAACUCUGUUGUUAGAGAAGAACAAGUAGGAGAGUAACUGCUCUUACCUUGACGGUAUCUAACCAGAAAGCCACGGCUAACUACGUGCCAGCAGCCGCGGUAAUACGUAGGUGGCAAGCGUUGUCCGGAUUUAUUGGGCGUAAAGCGAGCGCAGGCGGUUUCUUAAGUCUGAUGUGAAAGCCCCCGGCUCAACCGGGGAGGGUCAUUGGAAACUGGGAGACUUGAGUGCAGAAGAGGAGAGUGGAAUUCCAUGUGUAGCGGUGAAAUGCGUAGAUAUAUGGAGGAACACCAGUGGCGAAGGCGGCUCUCUGGUCUGUAACUGAGGCUCGAAAGCGUGGGGACGCAAACAGGAUUAGAUACCCUGGUAGUCCACGCCGUAAACGAUGAGUGCUAAGUGUUGGAGGGUUUCCGCCCUUCAGUGCUGCAGCUAACGCAUUAAGCACUCCGCCUGGGGAGUACGACCGCAAGGUUGAAACUCAAAGGAAUUGACGGGGGCCCGCACAAGCGGUGGAGCAUGUGGUUUAAUUCGAAGCAACGCGAAGAAGAACCUUACCAGGUCUUGACAUCCUUUGACCACUCUAGAGAUAGAGCUUCCCCUUCGGGGGCAAAGUGACAGGUGGUGCAUGGUUGUCGUCAGCUCGUGUCGUGAGAUGUUGGGUUAAGUCCCGCAACGAGCGCMACCCUUAUUGUUAGUUGCCAUCAUUCAGUUGGGCACUCUAGC